AUGAGAAUUUGCCAAAGUCGAAGACGACAUAAGGAGAGAAAAGUAUUUCCAUGUCGUAAGCAGACAGGUGGGCAGCCAGUCAAGAACAAAAACACUCUGAGAGAUGCAGUCUGGGUGGGCAGGACCUGUGUACAAGGACCAAACCUACAGAUCCUCUCAGAAGCUGAACGUAAACAAACAGCUCGGCAGCGCGGGAGUCUCUUCCUCCCACUCAGCGCGCAUAAGCAGGAUCAAAUUCAUCUGCAGCUUUAAGAAAACAUCGCCUCCCAGCUCUCUUCCACCAUCUAAGCCCCGCUGACAGCUCAACCUGAGCGCUACCUGACUGAACUUCCUCGGAUCCUCCGUAUAAACGCCUUCUUCUCAGCAGGAGGUCUGAGGCGCUGCGGUGAAGCACUAGCGCCAUCUGCAGAGGAGCGGAGCGAGGACAACACUCCGAGACAUCUGAUGUAUGUGAUGCCGUGUCGAGUUUCUCGGCAGCUCUGUCAUAUUCACGAGCUGUCAGGAUGCUGGGAUCCUGGCAGACGAGCCCUCGCUGCAUUUCUUGAAGGCUUUGUGAUUGGUUUCUUUUUGAAAAGCACCUGAAGCUCAGUUUUUCAUCUUGUUUACAGCAACAGAUAGAGAAUACGAUACGACCGCGAGCUGACCCUGGAAAAUCAGAAUAGUUGAUUGCGGAGUGUAAAACUACAGUUUCAUUUUGUGAAAGGAGACCUGAGAGACUCUAACAUGUGUUAAAGUCUGGCGCUAUGCAGCUCAAAACUUGCAUUUCUCAGCGUUGCACCAUAUUAAACAUAGUUGAACAUAGCCUAUUUGGUAUUUUUGAAAAUUAUUUAUUUAGUCUAUUAGUGUUAUUUUAAUAUUGUAUUAUUGAUCUGACCGUUUUUAUUAAUUAUUUAGUAUUUAAUUAACUAUAUUUAUUAUUUUUUUGGGGAAAAAAAGCAUUUGAAGUCUAUUUGUUAAUUUUAAUGUUUUAUUAUUGAUAUAACUUUUUAUGAAUAAUUUUAGUUUAUGAAUUAACUAUAUGGUUUAAUAGUAUUCUUGUCUUUCAUAUUACAUUCAAAUAUUGUAGAACAGUAUAUCACCA
Cyprinus carpio carpio is the source of this 1081-nucleotide long non-coding RNA. The record is from Ensembl. Lineage: Eukaryota; Metazoa; Chordata; Actinopteri; Cypriniformes; Cyprinidae.